This is a long non-coding RNA of Oryctolagus cuniculus (rabbit), 1555 nucleotides long. NCBI's taxonomy places the organism in Eukaryota, Metazoa, Chordata, Mammalia, Lagomorpha, Leporidae. The record is from Ensembl.
AAAUCAUAUACUUCAUGUAGUUGUCAAGUUUUUGUACAUUUGAUGUGAUCUUUGGAUUCCAUUUUAGCUUUUUUCUGUAUUUUUUAAGAUUUAUUUAUUUAUGUGUCUUGAUUCAAAACUUUAUUUUGUAAUUUCUUUUUUUUAAAGGUUUAUUUUACUUAUUUGAAAGACAGAGUUACAGAGAGAAGAGGGGCAGAGAGAGAAGUCUUCCAUCCGAUGGUUCACUCCCCAGAUGGCUGCAAUGGCCAGAGCUGUACCAUUCUGAAGCUGGGAACCAGGAGCUUCUUCUGGGUCUCCCAAAUGGCUGCAGGGGCCCACGGACUUGGGCCAUCCUCUACUGCUUUCCCAGGCCAUAGCAGAGAUCUGGAUCAGAAGAGGAGAAGCUGGGACUAGAACCUGCACCCAUAUGAGAUGCCAGCACUUCAGGCCAAGGCAUUAACCUGCUGUGCCACACGCUGGCCCUUUUCUCUGUAUUUGUGUUAAGCACUAUUUAUUAAAAAUUCCAUAGAUAUAACCGAUGGACUUACAGUGCCAUCUAUUUAUGAGUGCCAUCUACUACAGCUAAUGGUCUUAAUGGCUUUCUCAGGUAACCAAUGACCCAGCUUCUUCAAGGCUUCCACAUUUAAGUUGUGCAUCAGCUGUCAUUUUGACCUCAGGCUGAUAGAAUGGUGUACUGAUGGUCACUGUGGCUGGAUGAGAAAAAACAGUGAUUUUCUGUGAUUUUCUCAAAUGUGACAAAAUUUUCUUCCACUGUAUCUGGAAAGAGUCAUGUGGCCUUGUCUGCAUUUUUCAGUAUGGGAAUGGGGAUGUAAGAUCCUCUCACAGGAAACAACACUGAAGAUGAGUGGUCCCUGGUCAUCACAUGCUGGAAUGUCACUUCUCCCACAGCUGCUCUCAUGGAGAAGAAAAUCUGUUCCACUUACAGGAUACUUAAGUCCAGCAGUGGAGGAAGCAUAAUUGAAAGAGCCCACAACUGAGAUCAUGGCAUAAAGACCCUUGCUUCCAUGUGAGAAUGAUUGAGAAAACUGUCUUCAUUGCAUAAAAGUCAUCAUGAAGAGGAUAAGGGACCUCUGCAUCUCCAAGUGUAUUUCUACCUCCCAGCUGUGAACACAGAAUAGGGCAUCCAUUGAUUAAACAAUGAUUCCAUACUUCCAUGUGGUGCUUCUCUGCUUACCAUUGCCUGCUGAAAUCUUUUUGUUCCUAUGUAUUUUUACCCAGCAUGGUUUGUCUUAAUUUUCUCACUUCUCCCUGACAAUACUCAACAAUUUACACACUGUUCCCUACAUUUACACACUUUCUCUUGAUGUGCAUGAUAAACCUGAUAAAUUGCCCUAAUGAUUUUUAUUAUUCUAUCAUUGUAAAAAUGCUAGUAUCAUGUUCUUUAAUAAGUUUGGCAUAAUACUGAAAAGUGGGUGUUUGCCAUUGAAGACACUGUAUUUGUGCUCACUAGUAUUACCUAGAUUAGGAGUAGUGCUAUCCUCUGAUUAUACCUUCAAUUUGAACUAAAUUCUAAAGCAUGAAUAAAAUUACUGAUAAUGAAGAUGAAGCUGAAGAG